This 71-nucleotide transfer RNA is filed under the name Loxodonta africana (African savanna elephant). It matches the Rfam family "tRNA". From Rfam's summary of the family: Transfer RNA (tRNA) molecules are approximately 80 nucleotides in length. Their secondary structure includes four short double-helical elements and three loops (D, anti-codon, and T loops). Lineage: Eukaryota; Metazoa; Chordata; Mammalia; Proboscidea; Elephantidae. The record is from Rfam by way of RNAcentral.
GCAGUGGUGGUUUUAUGGUAGAAUUACCACCUUCCAUGUGGGAGACAUAGAUUCAAUUCCUGGCCAAUACA